RNAcentral lists this ribosomal RNA (253 nucleotides) under uncultured bacterium. RNAcentral's name for it is "partial 16S ribosomal RNA". It matches the Rfam family "Bacterial small subunit ribosomal RNA", at positions 524 to 776 of the family's 1533-position model. The record is from RNAcentral.
UACAGAGGGCUCAAGCGUUGUUCGGAUUCAUUGGGCGUAAAGGGUGCGUAGGCGGUCGUGCAAGUCGGAUGUGAAAUCUCAGGGCUCAACCCUGAAACUGCAUUCGAUACUGCGCGGCUAGAGUGCUUGAGGGGAGACUGGAAUUUACGGUGUAGCAGUGAAAUGCGUAGAUAUCGUAAGGAAGACCAGUGGCGAAGGCGAGUCUCUGGACAGCAACUGACGCUGAGGCACGAAGGCCAGGGGAGCAAACGGG